Non-coding RNA from Moesziomyces antarcticus, 74 nucleotides. The record is from the annotation of a RefSeq genome assembly. Lineage: Eukaryota; Fungi; Basidiomycota; Ustilaginomycetes; Ustilaginales; Ustilaginaceae.
UCCUCUCUCUUCGCUUGCUCGCUCGCUCGCUCGCUCAAGGGUCCAAACCCUGCGUCAAGACAGAGACAGGCAGG